RNAcentral lists this ribosomal RNA (590 nucleotides) under uncultured bacterium. RNAcentral's name for it is "bacterial SSU rRNA". It matches the Rfam family "Bacterial small subunit ribosomal RNA", at positions 102 to 694 of the family's 1533-position model. The record is from RNAcentral.
ACGGGUGAGUAACACGUAAAGAAUCUGCCCUGAAGCGGGGAAUAACUAUCCCAACGGAUAGCUAAUACCGCAUAAUGAUGGAGGAGGCAUCUCCUUUUCUCAAAAGGCUUCGGCCACUUCAGGAUGACUUUGCGUCCCAUUAGCUUGUUGGCGGUGUAACGGACCACCAAGGCGACGAUGGGUAUCCGGCCUGAGAGGGUGUACGGACACAUUGGGACUGAGAUACGGCCCAGACUCCUACGGGAGGCAGCAGUAGGGAAUUUUGCGCAAUGGAGGAAACUCUGACGCAGCAACGCCAUGUGUGGGAUGAAGCAUUUCGGUGUGUAAACCACUGUCAGCAGGGAAUAAAAGGCCUUUUAGGCAUUUGAAUGUACCUGCGAAGGAAGCCCCGGCUAACUUCGUGCCAGCAGCCGCGGUAAUACGAGGGGGGCAAAUGUUGUUCGGAAUCACUGGGCGUAAAGGGAGCGUAGGCGGGUUUUUAAGUUAGGUGUUUAAUACCGGGGCCCAACCCCGGACCGGCACUUAAAACUGGGAAUCUUGAAUAGUGGAGAGGUCAGUGGAAUUGGAGGUGUAGCGGUGGAAUGCGUAGA